GAUGAACGCUAGCGGCGUGCUUAACACAUGCAAGUCGAGCGAUGAAGUUCCUUCGGGAAUGGAUUAGCGGCGGACGGGUGAGUAACACGUGGGUAACCUGCCUCAUAGAGGGGAAUAGCCUUUCGAAAGGAAGAUUAAUACCGCAUAAGAUUGUAGUAUCGCAUGAUACAGCAAUUAAAGGAGUAAUCCGCUAUGAGAUGGACCCGCGUCGCAUUAGCUAGUUGGUGAGGUAACGGCUCACCAAGGCGACGAUGCGUAGCCGACCUGAGAGGGUGAUCGGCCACAUUGGGACUGAGACACGGCCCAGACUCCUACGGGAGGCAGCAGUGGGGAAUAUUGCACAAUGGGGGAAACCCUGAUGCAGCAACGCCGCGUGAGUGAUGACGGUCUUCGGAUUGUAAAACUCUGUCUUCAGGGACGAUAAUGACGGUACCUGAGGAGGAGGCCACGGCUAACUACGUGCCAGCCGCCGCCGUAA
Molecule: ribosomal RNA, 478 nt
Filed under: uncultured bacterium
Lineage: Bacteria
Description: partial 16S ribosomal RNA
Rfam family: Bacterial small subunit ribosomal RNA
Source: RNAcentral